UUCAGUCAUUGUUUCUGGUAGU
This 22-nucleotide microRNA is filed under the name Lepisosteus oculatus (spotted gar). Its description in RNAcentral is "Loc-Mir-725_3p (mature (guide))". The record is from RNAcentral. Lineage: Eukaryota; Metazoa; Chordata; Actinopteri; Semionotiformes; Lepisosteidae. RNAcentral also lists the same sequence under 2 other names.